RNAcentral lists this ribosomal RNA (400 nucleotides) under uncultured bacterium. RNAcentral's name for it is "bacterial SSU rRNA". It matches the Rfam family "Bacterial small subunit ribosomal RNA", at positions 356 to 773 of the family's 1533-position model. The record is from RNAcentral.
AGGGAAUAUUGGACAAUGGGCGCAAGCCUGAUCCAGCAAUACCACGUGAGUGAUGAAGGUCUUCGGAUUGUAAAGCUCUUUUAGUAGGGAAGAUAAUGACGGUACCUACAGAAAAAGCACCGGCUAACUUCGUGCCAGCAGCCGCGGUAAUACGAAGGGUGCUAGCGUUGUUCGGAAUCAUUGGGCGUAAAGCGUGCGUAGGCGGCUUGGCAAGUCAAGUGUGAAAUCCCGGGGCUUAACCUCGGAAUUGCGCUUGAAACUGCUUUGCUAGAGUAUGAAGAGGGAUAGUGGAAUUCCUAGUGUAGGGGUGAAAUCCGUAGAUAUUAGGAGGAACACCGGUGGCGAAAGCGACUAUCUAUAUCAUUACUGACGCUGUUGCACGAAAGCGUGGGGAGCAAAC